AGGUGCGAUGCUACUAGCACUAAUGCACCGAAUCCCAUCAGAACUCCGGAGUUAAGUGUGCUUGGAAUAGAGUAGAAUUAGGAUGGGUGACCUCUUAGGAAAUCCACAUGUUGCACCCC
Molecule: ribosomal RNA, 119 nt
Filed under: Gossypium arboreum
Lineage: Eukaryota; Viridiplantae; Streptophyta; Magnoliopsida; Malvales; Malvaceae
Source: RNAcentral